GACGAACGCUGGCGGCGUGCUUAACACAUGCAAGUCGAGCGGUAAGGCCCUUUCGGGGGUACACGAGCGGCGAACGGGUGAGUAACACGUGGGUGACCUGCCUUUAGCUCUGGGAUAAGCCUGGGAAACUGGGUCUAAUACCGGAUAUGACUCCGCGGUGCAUGCUGUGGGGUGGAAAGCCUUGUGCGGCUGGAGAUGGGCCCGCGGCCUAUCAGCUUGUUGGUGGGGUGAUGGCCUACCAAGGCGACGACGGGUAGCCGGCCUGAGAGGGCGACCGGCCACACUGGGACUGAGACACGGCCCAGACUCCUACGGGAGGCAGCAGUGGGGAAUCUUGCGCAAUGGGCGAAAGCCUGACGCAGCGACGCCGCGUGAGGGAUGACGGCC
RNAcentral lists this ribosomal RNA (387 nucleotides) under uncultured bacterium. Its description in RNAcentral is "bacterial SSU rRNA". It matches the Rfam family "Bacterial small subunit ribosomal RNA", at positions 28 to 416 of the family's 1533-position model. The record is from RNAcentral.